UAAUACGUAGGGGGCAAGCGUUGUCCGGAUUUACUGGGCGUAAAGCGCCUGUAGGCGGCUGAUUAGGUCCUAUCGUGAAAGGCAGGGGCUCAACCCCUGGAUGGCGAGGGAAACCGAUGAGCUGGAGAGAGGCAGAGGAAGGUGGAAUGGUCGGUGGAGCGGUGAAAUGCGUAGAGAUCGAUCGGAACACCCAAGGCGAAGGCAGCCUUCUGGGCCUCAUCUGACGCUGAGAGGCGAAAGCGUGGGGAGCGAACGGGAUUAGAUACCCCGGUAGUCCACGCCGUAAACGAUGGUCACUAGGUGUGGGAGGUAUCGACCCCUUCCGUGCCGGAGCUAACGCAAUAAGUGACCCGCCUGGGGAGUACGGCGCCAAGGUU
This 377-nucleotide ribosomal RNA is filed under the name uncultured bacterium. RNAcentral's name for it is "bacterial SSU rRNA". It matches the Rfam family "Bacterial small subunit ribosomal RNA", at positions 521 to 895 of the family's 1533-position model. The record is from RNAcentral.